Molecule: long non-coding RNA, 462 nt
Filed under: Solanum tuberosum (potato)
Lineage: Eukaryota; Viridiplantae; Streptophyta; Magnoliopsida; Solanales; Solanaceae
Description: long non-coding RNA (STUB_LNC009874)
Source: RNAcentral
UCCAGCAAAUUUUUAAAAGAAGAAACCACAAAGAAAGUAUUGCAAAAUGACACCAGAUCUCAGUUUGCUGUACAUAGCUCAAAUUUCCUUACAUCAAAAGAAGGGACACAUGUCUCUUUUCCCAAUUAGAAUCCAAGAGCAAUGCAACCUCUAAUGCUAAAUUCUCUAGCCCUACAUAUACAAACAAGUACUAAUACAUAAACUCCAUCUCUCCAAGAGGCAUGUCAGUGCAUAGGGCUUCCACAUUAACUCAUCCAACUGCAGGCGCUUUUGUCAACUCAAAUCUGUACCAUAAAUAAGUUGGUGGGUAACCAAACACAGCUCUUGCAAAAAAGAAAGUAUACACACCUUUAAACAGGGGACAGGGGAAUAUAAGAUGCUCAGUUCCUAAGAGCAUGACUGCCAAAUAAACCACACAUGGAUAGUAAUAACAAGUGACAUACCUUAGUAGUAAGAUCCAGA